GAGCAGGGGUGGGGAAUGGCGGGGGUGUCCACUUGAGAAGAGGUGGGCACAUGUUAAGUCCUGUCAUAUGUAGUGGUUUGAGCUGCUCCAUAUAAUCACUAAGUAAUGCCAUAGAGCAGCCAGAUCAAGGAGAGCAAAAGGCCAUGGGAAAAAACAGAGAGUGUGUGCAUGUAUGAUGGCGGCAGAUUUGGAGAAUUUUGGUGAUACAUAUAGACAAACAGAAAAGGAGUCCCUGCUUUCUCUGGAGGACAGGAUGUGGAAUGAGAGGGCAAGAGGAUGUGGAGGAAAAAAACCCGAAGGAGACAGAUGAGGAGGAGGAAGGAUGGGGAGGAGACAGACAGACUAGCCUACUUUAACUCCUCUGACUGCAGGGAGUAGGGUCGUAUCACGCAGGCACAGAGGUGACGGGAAAAACAGGGAUAAAGAAUCUUUAUAUGGUUCCCACAGGAUGAGAUGGACUAUAUGCCAUGCACCUUCAGAAUCUUUCACAUUUAAACAAACGCACGCGACGGUAAAGAAAUGCCUCAGAUAAAAUAAGACUGAUAAAAAAGGGGGUUGUUUAUGCACAAGAGAAGGAAUGUAACAGAAAGCCAAACCUUAGCAAAUACAACUUGACCUUUAAAGAACAGCUGGAGUCAUUUGUUUUGUUAUCUAACUGUUCUAGGAUGACAUAGAAAUAUUUUUAUUAUGAUUAUCUCAGAUAACACACUGGGUUGAGGCAUUUGUCCUUCCACCGUAUCUAACUAUGUACUUGUUCAGUUAAGAUAAGUGUAGUUGCCAUAAUGGAGGACAGAAACACUGGAUCUAAACAACUACAGUGUUCAAAUGUAAUCUGACCUUUUUAUGAUUUUCCCCCUUUGAUAUCACGCAAGCCGUCACGCUGAGUAUCAAGGAGCCGACAAGCUAAUCUCGGUCUAUAUUGUGAAACCUGCAAAUAUUUGACCACACAUGGGAAAUACUUGGGAGCAUUACUGGCUUGACAAGAACAGAUGACGGUCUGCGGCUGUGAAACUGAAUCAGCUGCUGUCCCCUGCUCCUCCUGCUGCAGCCAACCCUCAGGGGAAAUGCUUCACCAUAACAACCGGACUUGCACCCUCUCCUCCUGAAGGAUGGUCGCCACCAGAGGGCGACAAAGCAUUGCAAGCCGUGGUGCAUGCAGUUUUUAUGCCAUGUUUUUAUGUUAGGCUACUCUUCAGUCCACCGCUUCUAUAUAAUACUAUAGCACCCUUCAAAACAAGAGUUACAAGGUUUUUUACAAUGUCACAUAAAAUACAGUAACAUGGAAUAUAACAAAAAAUAUCAGGGACUGGUCCAACAUAGAGAGAUAAAACCUUAUACAGGUGGGUUUUAACAGCUAAACAUUUUAAAUAGACUCACUCAGCCGCUGAGAUACUGAGGGGAAGUUUGCACCCCAGUGUUUGAGCUAAAACAUUAAAGCAGGAUCCCCCUCUGUCUUAAACUUAGAACUUACAACCUUUGGAUGCCAGACCUUUGGGGUAAUGGUGCAAGAUAACAAGUUAAAAGAUCAGAAACAUAAUGAGUCCAAACCAAAAAUUUAUACAAAAAAAUUAAUCCUAAAAUGACUAGAGAGCUAAUGUAAUCCAGCCAGACCAAAGAGGCAUGAUUUCUGUGUCUGGUGUAUGCUUCCUUCACUCAGUGUAGAUGAGAAAAUAAUGUAUCAAUGAAGCAAGUAAGUAAUGAAUUCCAGUAGUCAAGAUGAGAAGAAAUUAAGAUGUGGGUAGGUCGCUCAACUAUGUCAGUGUUGAGCAUUGGUUAACUCUGGAAAUGAUCAAGACUGAAUAAGACUGCUGAGGUAUGGAUAAAAAACCACAGAUGUCUGGCUGGAUUUUUUAAUUUAGCUUUCUUUAGUCCAAGAUCAGGGAUGAGACUUCCCUUUCCUCAUCCCUAAUGAAGCUGCCAUUGCUGCCAUUUCCAGCACCAUUGAGGUUUGCUGCAGCCCACCCUGUCACAAUGAACACAUUAGUGGUAUUUAAAAGAAAAUCUUAGAAAACAACAGACUCUACGUUAGACACUGCUGCCAGGACACACAAAGUUCAAGAACAAUUAUCAAAGAGUACACGCAAGGCUAAUUUUGUGUGAGGGGUCAAUAUGUACCUAAUAUGUAUUCAUUAUCAUCUGUAGCAGCAAUAGAAGGAAAUAAAUAGAGAUGAGGAGAAAAAGACCAUUUCUAAUCAAUUUUAAAAUAGCAAUAUAUAGUACAUAAAUGAAAGUAUUUGUAUUACUUGAAAUUGUGUUACAAUACUGACUUAUAUCCUAAUUUUUACAGACACCCUUAAGGAAGGAGAAAGCACACUGACUUUACAGAAACAAGUAGGUGUGACAUGCCAUAGUGCAAAAGCACCAUAGCCUUGUUUAUUAAGCCCAGUGUAAAGGGUGUGUUUGCAUGCAAAAGUAUGUGUUUGUACAGCUAUGUUUCUGUCACAUAAUUAAAGUUUUAAUAUUGUAAAUCUGUUUUGCUAAAUAUGAAUGGACUGAAGUCUUUUCACAAUAAACUGUUAAGGUGUGUUUUCCCUCUUGGUUAUACAAUGUACUGAACACAAGCCUGAACAUGUACUCCUAUAACAUCCACAUAAUUAAAUAUCAAUUUAAUAAAGUGAACCAUCUGCACAGUU
Molecule: long non-coding RNA, 2633 nt
Organism: Micropterus salmoides (largemouth bass)
Lineage: Eukaryota; Metazoa; Chordata; Actinopteri; Centrarchiformes; Centrarchidae
Exons: 2
Source: RefSeq, a predicted model, not a curated record